This 377-nucleotide ribosomal RNA is filed under the name uncultured soil bacterium. RNAcentral describes it as "bacterial SSU rRNA". It matches the Rfam family "Bacterial small subunit ribosomal RNA", at positions 26 to 405 of the family's 1533-position model. The record is from RNAcentral.
AGAUUGAACGCUAGCGGGAUGCUUUACACAUGCAAGUCGAACGGCAGCGCGGACUUCGGUCUGGCGGCGAGUGGCGAACGGGUGAGUAAUAUAUCGGAACGUGCCCAGUAGCGGGGGAUAACUACGCGAAAGCGUGGCUAAUACCGCAUACGCCCUACGGGGGAAAGGGGGGAUUCUUCGGAACCUCGUCACUAUUGGAGCGGCCGAUAUCGAGAUUAGCUAGUUGGUGGGUAAAGCUCACCAAGGUCGACGAUCUGUAGCUGGUUUGAGAGGACGACCAGCCACACUGGGACUGAGACACGGCCCAGACUCCUACGGGAGGCAGCAGUGGGAAUUUGGAACAAUGGGGAAACCUGAUCGAGCCAGUCCCGCGUGGU